GGUAAGGUAUGGAACCUGCGAAUUUCUUCUCAAAUGAAAAACCAUUUUGUUUUGAUUUACACGUCCUUUACCUUGUUUAUCUGACGUUUUGAUUAAUCUCUUGAUCUACAGCUGGGAGAAGUAGCAAAAGACUAGACCAUAAUGUGGCUCAGUCUGUAAUGUUCCAUAGCAAUCACUCUAAUAAAUUAGAACAAUCUCAACAACCUAGGGAGCCAUUACCAGCAGUAGAGUACCCACCCUUUGCUUCUAUAGGGAAUAAAAGAUCAUUCCUUCGGCAGCACAGAAUUUCCAAUGCAAACUGAUCAUGCUACAUAGAUGGUAUAAAAACGACCGAUUUGGCGACGAUACCAAUAAUGGGCUAGCCAAAUUAUAUACACUUGGGCAAUGGCAGCCAUCUAACUGUCAAAAUAUAAGCCAGAAAAAAAGCCAUGGACGCUGGUAAAAUGUUUCCUCGUCAUGCAAGACGAUGAAAAUCUGGUAGGCUAAAGAGCGACAAACAACACAAGUCCGUGUAACGUGACGUACUCAGCUUUUUACCCCGUGAUCGGUCAACACGGUGUAUUCUCAUGACAACUGAAACCAUCUUUCAAAGUCUGUAGGAAAAUCAGAUAAAUUUUUAACAUAUUGUGAAAGUAAGAGG
Molecule: long non-coding RNA, 640 nt
Organism: Daphnia magna
Lineage: Eukaryota; Metazoa; Arthropoda; Branchiopoda; Diplostraca; Daphniidae
Exons: 2
Source: RefSeq, a predicted model, not a curated record